GGUGGCUCAGUGGUAGAGUGCUUGCCUUGCAUGCAAGAAGCCCUGGAUUCGUUCCAGCACCA
RNAcentral lists this transfer RNA (62 nucleotides) under Dipodomys ordii (Ord's kangaroo rat). It matches the Rfam family "tRNA". From Rfam's summary of the family: Transfer RNA (tRNA) molecules are approximately 80 nucleotides in length. Their secondary structure includes four short double-helical elements and three loops (D, anti-codon, and T loops). The record is from Rfam by way of RNAcentral. Lineage: Eukaryota; Metazoa; Chordata; Mammalia; Rodentia; Heteromyidae.